Molecule: non-coding RNA, 90 nt
Organism: Mycena latifolia
Lineage: Eukaryota; Fungi; Basidiomycota; Agaricomycetes; Agaricales; Mycenaceae
Source: the annotation of a GenBank genome assembly
UCGAGCGUGGUGUAUGAUGCACAGCCCUUAAUUGUAAACACUCGUGACUGUUGUGAAGGGCAGGACGGGGUUCGAUUCCCCGCGUUCGAA